GUGAGGAAUAUUGGACAAUGGGCGCAAGCCUGAUCCAGCCCUGCCGCGUGCAGGAAGACGCAUCUAUGGUGUGUAAACUGCUUUUGUACGGGAAGAAACACUCCCUCGUGAGGGAGCUUGACGGUACCGUAAGAAUAAGGAUCGGCUAACUCCGUGCCAGCAGCCGCGGUAAUACGGAGGAUCCAAGCGUUAUCCGGAAUCAUUGGGUUUAAAGGGUCCGUAGGCGGUUUAAUAAGUCAGUGGUGAAAGCCCAUCGCUCAACGAUGGAACGGCCAUUGAUACUGUUAGACUUGAAUUACAAGGAAGUAACUAGAAUAUGUAGUGUAGCGGUGAAAUGCUUAGAUAUUACAUGGAAUACCAAUUGCGAAGGCAGGUUACUACUUGUGGAUUGACGCUGAUGGACGAAAGCGUGGGGAGCGAACAGGAUUAGAAACCCCUGUAGUCC
This 445-nucleotide ribosomal RNA is filed under the name uncultured bacterium. RNAcentral describes it as "partial 16S ribosomal RNA". It matches the Rfam family "Bacterial small subunit ribosomal RNA", at positions 354 to 796 of the family's 1533-position model. The record is from RNAcentral.